This 415-nucleotide ribosomal RNA is filed under the name uncultured fungus. RNAcentral's name for it is "eukaryotic LSU rRNA". The stretch from base 96 to 250 matches the Rfam family "5.8S ribosomal RNA". The record is from RNAcentral. Lineage: Eukaryota; Fungi.
GCUCUGUCCCCCCUGGAGAGCGUCCGCCGAUGGCCCACAAAAACUCUUGUACCGAAACGUGUCGUCUGAAUUAUAUUUUGAGAAAUCAAAAACAAAACUUUCAACAACGGAUCUCUUGGUUCUGGCAUCGAUGAAGAACGCAGCGAAAUGCGAUAAGUAAUGCGAAUUGCAGAAUUUCCGUGAGUCAUCGAAUCUUUGAACGCACAUUGCGCCCAUUGGUAUUCCGAUGGGCAUGCCUGUUCGAGCGUCAUUAUCCUCCCUCAAACCUCGUGUUUGGUGUUGGACCGCGUUGGUCGAGCGACCAACUGGUCUCAAAGACAAUGACGGCGUCCGUGGGACCCUCGGUGCAACGAGCUUUUAACGAGCACGCGUCGAGUUUCAAGGACCCUCCGGGCCGGUCUAGACCUCUAUCUUC